UACGUAGGGUGCAAGCGUUGUCCGGAAUUAUUGGGCGUAAAGAGCUCGUAGGCGGUCUGUCGCGUCUGCUGUGAAAACUCAGGGCUUAACCCUGAGCUUGCAGUGGGUACGGGCAGACUAGAGUGCGGUAGGGGAGACUGGAAUUCCUGGUGUAGCGGUGAAAUGCGCAGAUAUCAGGGAGGAACACCGGUGGGCGAAAGGCGGGUCUC
Molecule: ribosomal RNA, 209 nt
Filed under: uncultured bacterium
Lineage: Bacteria
Description: partial 16S ribosomal RNA
Rfam family: Bacterial small subunit ribosomal RNA
Source: RNAcentral